RNAcentral lists this ribosomal RNA (596 nucleotides) under uncultured archaeon. Its description in RNAcentral is "partial 16S ribosomal RNA". The record is from RNAcentral.
UGAUCCAAUUGAACCGCAGGCUUCACCCCUUGGUGGUGCUCCCCCGCCAAUUCUUUAAGUUUCAUACUUGCGUACGUACUUCCCAGGCGGCAGACUUAACGGCUUCCCUGCGGCACUGCAUUGGCCACAAGCCAAUGCAUCACCGAGUCUGCAUCGUUUACAGCCGGGACUACCCGGGUAUCUAAUCCGGUUUGCUCCCCCAGCUUUCAUCCCUCACCGUCGAACGUGUUCUGGUACACCGCCUUCGCCACAGGUGGUCUUCAAUAGAUCAAAGGAUUUUACCCCUUCCUAUCGAGUACCGUGUACCUCUCCCACUCCCUAGCUGCACAGUAUUUUCGGCGGCCUAUACGUUAAGCGCAUAGAUUUAACCGAAAACUUAUGCAACCGGCUACGGAUGCUUUAGGCCCAAUAAACCUCCUGACCACUCGAGGUGCUGGUUUUACCGCGGCGGCUGACACCAGAACUUGCCCACCCCUUAUUCACCAGUGAUUCUACAACUGACAAAAGACUCCUUUAGCAGGAGACACUCGGAUUAACCUUGUCGUGCUUUCGCACAUUGCAAAGGUUUCUCGCCUGCUGCGCCCCAUAGGGCCUGG